Molecule: long non-coding RNA, 584 nt
Filed under: Oryzias javanicus (javanese ricefish)
Lineage: Eukaryota; Metazoa; Chordata; Actinopteri; Beloniformes; Adrianichthyidae
Description: lncRNA (ENSOJAG00000006399.1)
Source: RNAcentral
GAACAGCUUGAUGGUGACGUCAUGCUCCUCGUGAUGUUCUUCUACUUCUCCACUCGUGCUCCAUGUAAUUCUGACGAGUCUCUUUAGGGUGUCUCUGCUGGUCCCAGACGUGUUCGAUGGGGUUCAGGUCCGGGGACCUUCCUGGCCAUACCGUAUAAGGCAGUCCCACUUCCUGUGACAAUUCUGGCUCUUCUGCUGGAUGUCUCUCCGUCUCCGUGUGGCAGAGGCGUGUGCGUGUCUGGUGUCACUGUGGGUGGUAGUUGGGUGAAGGUUGAGGGCUUCCUUUUCCACUGCCACGGUUCCCACCAUCAUUCCAGAGCAGCGCGGCGUGCGUCAGUCCCUCCUGACUCACGCUUUCACAUCGGUUACACGCACCGGAACAGUUUGUUUUUUCGCUCCACGUGGUGCGUUUUUACGCACGAGACGAGAACACCGGACAGUUUUCCAACGUGUGUGGGGAUGCUCUGAUGAGUGCAACUGUCCCAACAGGUAAGACAAAUCAUUAUAAAAAACACUUUUAAAUAAAGUUUAAACGCAAAAAAUAAAAGGAUUCUGUAAAGGUGAAGAUUGGAAAAAAUGUUUUU